Non-coding RNA from Vicia faba (fava bean), 246 nucleotides. The record is from the annotation of a GenBank genome assembly. NCBI's taxonomy places the organism in Eukaryota, Viridiplantae, Streptophyta, Magnoliopsida, Fabales, Fabaceae.
AUGGAACAUAAAAUCAAAAUUUUCCUUUUAGUUACACUCUUGAUCUUAAUUCCUUUUCCUUUAUCUUCAGGGUUAGCCGACGAAGAAUUCAGAGAAAAUAUACUUCCUACUCAUCACUUUUUUGACAAGGAUGGUAUAAAGACAAACUCAAGGAAGCUAUUGUCCCAUGAUUUUGUGUUGGAUUAUGAUGAGGCAGGACCCAACCCAAAGCAUUCAAAGAAACCAGGCAAUGGCAAGGGUCCUUAA